UGGGCCGGCCGGAACUCCGAGCGAACUCGACUCAGUAAUAACGGCGAGGUUAGAGGGGCCGCGCGCCUUUCCAGUCGCACUCAGCGUAAGCGUUUACGGCAACUUCACAAAACUUUUUAUAAUCCGCAUUCUGACUGUUCUCUUUUCAAAUAUCACUUGUGAAAGUGCGUUUGUCAAUUAAAACGAGGUCCGUUGCCCUGGAACUAUUAUCUCGUUGGUAAAUCGGACGGUUCACUCAGCUGUCAUUUGUUUUGAUUAGGAAACGACGCGAUUUGCCGGCCGCCGGCUUCAACUAUUGCAGAAACUUGGGUGCUGCAUUUUAUUACUGCGUCUGUGUCAGCGGCUGGGCGCGCGCGCGCU
Molecule: long non-coding RNA, 360 nt
Organism: Ostrinia nubilalis (European corn borer)
Lineage: Eukaryota; Metazoa; Arthropoda; Insecta; Lepidoptera; Crambidae
Exons: 3
Source: RefSeq, a predicted model, not a curated record